Molecule: ribosomal RNA, 404 nt
Filed under: uncultured bacterium
Lineage: Bacteria
Description: bacterial SSU rRNA
Rfam family: Bacterial small subunit ribosomal RNA
Source: RNAcentral
CUGGCUUGAACUGUGGUAGACGGACCCAGAGAUGGGUUUUCCCUUCGGGGCUGCCAUGGAGGUGCUGCAUGGUUGUCGUCAGCUCGUGCCGUGAGGUGUCGGCUUAAGUGCCAUAACGAGCGCAACCCUUGCUGUUAGUUGCCAUCAGGUGAUGCUGGGCACUCUAACGGGACUGCCAUCGCAAGAUGUGAGGAAGGUGGGGAUGACGUCAAAUCAGCACGGCCCUUACGUCCGGGGCUACACACGUGUUACAAUGGGGGGCACAGCGCGUUGCUGGCGGGUGACCGUUGGCGGAUCGUGAAAUCCCCUCUCAGUUCGGAUUGGAGUCUGUAACCCGACUCCAUGAAGCUGGAUUCGCUAGUAAUCGCGCAUCAGCCAUGGCGCGGUGAAUACGUUCCCGGGCC